AGGGUGCCGGGGCGCAANGUCCCGGUCACCAAUCAANCAAGCCGGGGGGUUUNGGGGNGGCCCGGGUUCACAAGAUCAUCCGGACGGGUGACCCUAUCGAAGGUUUAANAUAAUGAUCGGGUCCCGGCCCGCUUUUGGGCCUUGGGAGGUACGGAACCUGCGGAAGGAUCAUUAU
RNAcentral lists this ribosomal RNA (175 nucleotides) under Physconia grumosa. RNAcentral describes it as "partial 18S ribosomal RNA". Lineage: Eukaryota; Fungi; Ascomycota; Lecanoromycetes; Caliciales; Physciaceae. The record is from RNAcentral.